This 253-nucleotide ribosomal RNA is filed under the name uncultured bacterium. RNAcentral's name for it is "partial 16S ribosomal RNA". It matches the Rfam family "Bacterial small subunit ribosomal RNA", at positions 524 to 776 of the family's 1533-position model. The record is from RNAcentral.
UACGAAGGGGGCUAGCGUUGCUCGGAAUCACUGGGCGUAAAGCGCACGCAGGCGGCUUUUUAAGUCAGGGGUGAAAUCCUGGAGCUCAACUCCAGAACUGCCUUUGAUACUGGGAAGCUUGAGUCCGGGAGAGGUGAGUGGAACUCCGAGUGUAGAGGUGAAAUUCGUAGAUAUUCGGAAGAACACCAGUGGCGAAGGCGGCUCACUGGCCCGGUACUGACGCUGAGGUGCGAAAGCGUGGGGAGCAAACAGG